CAGCUCUACCUCCUGCCAGGCCGGGACAGCGUGAGAACAGCAGUGCACAGCUGCAGACAAGUGUGGGGAGGAGGUGAGGGUGUCUGAGGACAAGGGAGCAUCCUGGAGUAGGGCAGACUCUGGAGCCAUCAAGGUAAUUUCGGGCCUCCCCAGGGUGAAGAGAGAAGAAAGAGGACCUUCACCAGAGUCAGCAAGAGCUCCACCUCCACUCCCCUCAACUCAUGGUCGAGACAAAUGAUUGAGUGAGGGCAUGGGAGAAAUAUUCACCCAAGCCAUGCACCAGCGGUGAGGCACCAUAGAGAGAACCUGAGAUCAGAAAUGUGCCAAGAUUGCUUGGGAAACAGCCAACAAGUGUCCUGGCCAGCAGGGGCAAGGCAGAGUCGGGGGAGACUCCCUGUCAAAUGCAAGAUGUCCAGGUACACGCAAAGGCCUCAACCACCUGGAGAACACCUGCUGCAACAGGUAACACCCCCGUGUCCAGGCCCAAGGCCUUGUCCACUGCACACCCACUACCCAGCCCUGUUUUCACUACCAUGAUGGACAGCUGUUGGAGUUAACUCUCCAGCUAUCCACGAACUCUGAUCCAUCCUGCU
RNAcentral lists this long non-coding RNA (593 nucleotides) under Macaca mulatta (Rhesus monkey). Its description in RNAcentral is "lncRNA (ENSMMUG00000064895.1)". The record is from RNAcentral. Lineage: Eukaryota; Metazoa; Chordata; Mammalia; Primates; Cercopithecidae.